RNAcentral lists this ribosomal RNA (253 nucleotides) under uncultured prokaryote. RNAcentral's name for it is "partial 16S ribosomal RNA". It matches the Rfam family "Bacterial small subunit ribosomal RNA", at positions 524 to 776 of the family's 1533-position model. The record is from RNAcentral.
UACAGAGGUCCCAAGCGUUGUUCGGAUUUACUGGGCGUAAAGGGUGUGUAGGCGGUAAGGAUAGUCUGACGUUAAAUAUCUGGGCUCAACCCAGACACCGCGUUGGAUACUUCUUAACUCGAGAGGCAUAGGGGGAACCGGAAUUCUCGGUGUAGCAGUGAAAUGCGUAGAUAUCGAGAGGAACGCCAGUGGCGAAAGCGGGUUCCUGGAUGCCUUCUGACGCUGAGGCACUAAAGCUGGGGGAGCAAACGGG